This 164-nucleotide ribosomal RNA is filed under the name uncultured bacterium. RNAcentral describes it as "partial 16S rRNA". It matches the Rfam family "Bacterial small subunit ribosomal RNA", at positions 355 to 511 of the family's 1533-position model. The record is from RNAcentral.
UAGAGAAUCUUCCACAAUGGGCGCAAGCCUGAUGGAGCAACACCGCGUGAGUGAAGAAGGGUUUCGGCUCGUAAAGCUCUGUUGUUAAAGAAGAACACGUAUGAGAGUAACUGUUCAUACGUUGACGGUAUUUAACCAGAAAGUCACGGCUAACUACGUGCCUG